RNAcentral lists this transfer RNA (67 nucleotides) under Marmota monax (woodchuck). RNAcentral describes it as "tRNA.Ala". Lineage: Eukaryota; Metazoa; Chordata; Mammalia; Rodentia; Sciuridae. The record is from RNAcentral.
GGUUGUGGCUCAGUGUCAGAGUGCUCUCCUAGCAUGUGCGAGGCCCUGGGUUCGAUCCUUAGCACCA